CCCUUAGAUGUUCUGGGCUGCACGCGCGCUACACUGAUACACUCAACGAGUUCCUGUCUUGAAAGAGUCGGGUAAUCAUUUGAGCGUGUAUCGUGAUGGGGAUAGAAUAUUGUAAUUAUUACUCUUCAACGAGGAAUUCCUAGUAGUCACUGUUCAUCAGACAGUGACGACUAUGUCCCUGCCCUUUGUACACACCGCCCGUCGCUACUACCGAUUGAACGUUUUAGUGAGGCAUUUGGACCGACGCAUCUCAGUUUAACCGCUGGUUUGUGUUGGAAAGACUUCCAAACUUGAGCGUUUAGAGGAAGUGAAAGUCGUAACA
RNAcentral lists this ribosomal RNA (322 nucleotides) under uncultured eukaryote. RNAcentral's name for it is "partial 18S ribosomal RNA". It matches the Rfam family "Eukaryotic small subunit ribosomal RNA", at positions 1470 to 1796 of the family's 1831-position model. The record is from RNAcentral.